Molecule: ribosomal RNA, 2962 nt
Filed under: Escherichia coli
Lineage: Bacteria; Pseudomonadati; Pseudomonadota; Gammaproteobacteria; Enterobacterales; Enterobacteriaceae
Description: 23S ribosomal RNA
Rfam family: Bacterial large subunit ribosomal RNA
Source: RNAcentral
GGGUUGUGAGGUUAAGCGACUAAGCGUACACGGUGGAUGCCCCGGCAGUCAGAGGCGAUGAAGGACGUGCUAAUCUGCGAUAAGCGUCGGUAAGGUGAUAUGAACCGUUAUAACCGGCGAUUUCCGAAUGGGGAAACCCAGUGUGUUUCGACACACUAUCAUUAACUGAAUCCAUAGGUUAAUGAGGCGAACCGGGGGGAACUGAAACAUCUAAGUACCCCGAGGAAAAGAAAUCAACCGAGAUUCCCCCCAGUAGCGGCGAGCGAACGGGGAGGAGCCCAGAGCCUGAAUCAGUGUGUGUGUUAGUGGAAGCGUCUGGAAAGGCGCGCGAUACAGGGUGACAGCCCCGUACACAAAAAAUGCACAUACUGUGAGCUCGAUGAGUAGGGCGGGACACGUGGUAUCCUGUCUGAAUAUGGGGGGGGACCAUCCUCCAAGGCUAAAUACUCCUGACUGACCGAUAGUGAACCAGUACCGUGAGGGAAAGGCGAAAAAGAACCCCGGCGAGGGGAGUGAAAAAAGAACCUGAAACCGUGUACGUACAAGCAGUGGGAGCCUCUUUUAUGGGGGUGACUGCGUACCUUUUGUAUAAUGGGUCAGCGACUUAUAUUCUGUAGCAAGGUUAACCGAAUAGGGGAGCCGAAGGGAAACCGAGUCUUAACUGGGCGUUAAGUUGCAGGGUAUAGACCCGAAACCCGGUGAUUCAGCCAUGGGCAGGUUGAAGGUUGGGUAACACUAACUGGAGGACCGAACCGACUAAUGUUGAAAAAAUUAGCGGAUGACUUGUGGCUGGGGGGUGAAAGGCCAAUCAAACCGGGAGAUAGCUGGUUCUCCCCGAAAGCUAUUUAGGUAGCGCCUCGUGAAUUCAUCUCCGGGGGGUAGAGCACUGUUUCGGCAAGGGGGGUCAUCCCGACUUACCAACCCGAUGCAAACUGCGAAUACCGGAGAAUGUUAUCACGGGAGACACACGGCGGGUGCUAACGUCCGUCGUGAAGAGGGAAACAACCCAGACCGCCAGCUAAGGUCCCAAAGUCAUGGUUAAGUGGGAAACGAUGUGGGAAGGCCCAGACAGCCGUGAUGUUGGCUUAGAAGCAGCCAUCAUUUAAAGAAAGCGUAAUAGCUCACUGGUCGAGUCGGCCUGCGCGGAAGAUGUAACGGGGCUAAACCAUGCACCGAAGCUGCGGCAGCGACGCUUAUGCGUUGUUGGGUAGGGGAGCGUUCUGUAAGCCCUGUGAAGGUGUACUGUGAGGUAUGCUGGAGGUAUCAGAAGUGCGAAUGCUGACAUAAGUAACGAUAAAGCGGGUGAAAAGCCCGCUCGCCGGAAGACCAAGGGUUCCUGUCCAACGUUAAUCGGGGCAGGGUGAGUCGACCCCCUAAGGCGAGGCCGAAAGGCGUAGUCGAUGGGAAACAGGUUAAUAUUCCUGUACUUGGUGUUACUGCGAAGGGGGGGGGGACGGAGAAGGCUAUGUUGGCCGGGCGACGGUUGUCCCGGUUUAAGCGUGUAGGCUGGUUUUCCGUGCAAAUCCGGAAAAUCAAGGCUGAGGCGUGAUGACGAGGCACUACGGUGCUGAAGCAACAAAUGCCCUGCUUCCGAGAAAAGCCUCUAAGCAUCAGGUAACAUCAAAUCGUACCCCCAAACCGACACAGGUGGUCAGGUAGAGAAUACCAAGGCGCUUGAGAGAACUCGGGUGAAGGAACUAGGCAAAAUGGUGCCGUAACUUCGGGAGAAGGCACGCUGAUAUGUAGGUGAAGCGACUUGCUCGUGGAGCUGAAAUCAGUCGAAGAUACCAGCUGGCUGCAACUGUUUAUUAAAAAACACAGCACUGUGCAAACACGAAAGUGGACGUAUACGGUGUGACGCCUGCCCGGUGCCGGAAGGUUAAUUGAUGGGGGUUAGCGGUAACGCGAAGCUCUUGAUCGAAGCCCCGGUAAACGGCGGCCGUAACUAUAACGGUCCUAAGGUAGCGAAAUUCCUUGUCGGGUAAGUUCCGACCUGCACGAAUGGCGUAAUGAUGGCCGGGCUGUCUCCACCCGAGACUCAGUGAAAUUGAACUCGCUGUGAAGAUGCAGUGUACCCGCGGCAAGACGGAAAGACCCCCGUGAACCUUUACUAUAGCUUGACACUGAACAUUGAGCCUUGAUGUGUAGGAUAGGUGGGAGGCUUUGAAGUGUGGACGCCAGUCUGCAUGGAGCCGGCCUUGAAAUACCACCCUUUAAUGUUUGAUGUUCUAACGUUGGCCCCCUGAUCGGGGUUGCGGACAGUGUCUGGUGGGUAGUUUGACUGGGGGCGGUCUCCUCCUAAAGAGUAACGGAGGAGCACGAAGGUUGGCUAAUCCCUGGUCGGACAUCAGGAGGUUAGUGCAAUGGCAUAAGCCAGCUUGACUGCGAGCGUGACGGCGCGAGCAGGUGCGAAAGCAGGUCAUAGUGAUCCGGUGGUUCUGAAUGGAAGGGCCAUCGCUCAACGGAUAAAAAGGUACUCCGGGGAUAACAGGCUGAUACCGCCCAAGAGUUCAUAUCGACGGCGGUGUUUGGCACCUCGAUGUCGGCUCAUCACAUCCUGGGGCUGAAGUAGGUCCCAAGGGUAUGGCUGUUCGCCAUUUAAAGUGGUACGCGAGCUGGGUUUAGAACGUCGUGAGACAGUUCGGUCCCCUAUUCUGCCGUGGGCGCUGGAGAACUGAGGGGGGCUGCUCCUAGUACGAGAGGACCGGAGUGGACGCAUCACUGGUGUUCGGGUUGUCAUGCCAAUGGCACUGCCCGGUAGCUAAAUGCGGAAGAGAUAAGUGCUGAAAGCAUCUAAGCACGAAACUUGCCCCCGAGAUGAGUUCUCCCUGAGACUUUAAGUCUCCUGAAGGAACGUUGAAGACGACGACGUUGAUAGGCCGGGUGUGUAAGCGCAGCGAUGCGUUGAGCUAACCGGUACUAAUGAACCGUGAGGCUUAACCUUACAACGCCGAAGGUGUUU